UGGUUAGAACAGAAGCAGCAAUAUUAGCCUUGAUGUAAUAGUUCUAAUUAUCCUCCAUGCCAAAGACAGACUAGAAUAUUAAUUGUUACCAAUAUGAAUAAAUUAAUGAAUCAUUCAUCAUAAUUGUUAAAGUGUGAACAUAAUCUGUACAUAAUUAAAGGAGAUUACAUAAUCAUAAGCUAAUUGAUACUAAUUAAUUGAUACAUGAUUUUUAGGAGUUGUCUUAACGAGGUCUUAUAAUCUGUAUAUAAAUACACUUACUUCAAUAGAGAAUACACACAAUAUUGCCCAAUUGUUCCUUGUCUUGUUAUAUGGUAUUAGAGCUUUUAGGGUUCAUUUGUUAUUUCUUUUGGGUUUGGAAUACUAUUCUCCUUUGAAUCACCGGUCUAGGUGAUUAUUUGACCUCAUCACCGUCCAGAGAAGCGGCGCAAUAGAGUUUCCGGCCUCUAUGCAAAGACCGGUGGUCAUAUUGCCAACGAGUGGUCUCCACAUGCCAUUUUUCUUUUUGGCCUGUUCUUGACGCGCAUCGCACCUCCGACGAGUCUUCGAUUCCACUCCCGAGAUUGCCUCGUUUGUCAUCAGACCUCACUGUCGUCAGAUUUCUCUUCUGUUGGAGCUGUCCAAAUUCCAUUUUUUUUCCUUCAAGGCCGUGUGAGGGCUAUUUUGAUGCUUUUAUUAUUGGGUGAAGUGUUUUUAAGCUCUAAUGUUGCUUGAAAUUGCUUCCGAUAGCAAGACCCAUGUCGCUAAAAUUAUUCCCACACCCACUAAAAUUACAAAAUAUAGAUUGAAAGGGUACACUCCUGUAGCUACUAUUGCUGAGAUAGGUAAAACUUGCCUUAUCUCCUCUUCACAUAAAUGGAUCAUUGAUUCUAGUGCCACAUAUCACAUGACAUGUAAUCCUCAUAUUUUCACCGGUUUUCAAUCUUAUAGAACACCAUUUCCUAUUACUGUAACUGUAGCUGAUAGGUCAAUCUAUAAUGUUGAGAGGCCCGGAACCAUUAAACCUACUUCUAUUACCCUAUUACUUGUACUAAAUUUCCCUAAUCUUAUUUUUAAUUAAAUCUCUAUAGUAAACUUACCAAAGACCUAAAUUGUUCUCUUUUUUUUUUUCUAAUCAUUGUCUCAUUCAAAAUUUUGUGACAAAGCAGAUUAUUGGUAAAGGAUACGCAUCUGGGAGUCUUUAUAUUUUGGAUGCAUGGGUGCCUCGGUCUGUCUCUGUUCGAAGCACAUUGUCGAUUGGGACAUCCUUCUUUCAAUUUCAUGAAGUAUCUUAACUGGAGUGAGUCGUGUCAUUUUACCAAACAUCAUCAAAGCUUUUCAAGUCUUAGAUUCAAUAAACGAGCCGAGUCUCCUUUUGAAUUAGUUCAUUCGGAUGUUUGAAGACCAUGUCCGACUGGGUUUAAGACUGCAUUCAGAUAUUUUGUCACUUUUAUGGAUGAUUUCUCUAUAAUGACUUAAAAUUUAUUGUAUGAAGCAUCGUACGGAGGUUCUCUCAUUUCUUUACCUUUUAUGCUGAAAUCAAGACUCAAAUUAAGGUUUCUGUGCAAAAUUUGAGAAGCAACAAUGCUAAAAAAUAUAUGUUAGAAUCAUUUCAGACUUAUAUGACUCAACAUGGUAUUAUUCACCAAUCAUCAUGUGUUGAUAUCCCUAGUCAAAAUGGGAUAGCUGAAAGGAAGAAUAGACAACUCCUUCAGAUUACUCGAGCUCUACUAUUUCAAAUGCAAGUUCCUAAACAAUUAUGGACCGAUGAUGUCUCUAUUGCAUGCUUCCUCAUUAACUGUGUGCUCUCCGCAGUACUAAACGGCAAUACUUCCUAUAAUGUCCUCUUUCCUAAGAAGUCAUUAUUUCCUCUACAACCACGACUUUUUGGCAGCAUUUGCUAUGUUUAGAACGUUAAACCUCAUUUGACUAAACUUGAUCCUAAAACUUUAAAGUGUCUUUUUGGGAUAUUCUCGUCUUCAGAAGGGUAUCAGUGUUACUCUGCAAAGCUCAACAAAUAUCUGGUCUCAACAGAUGUAACCUUUUCCAAGCAAAUUCCUUUUUAUCCUGUUGCACCAGAAGGAGAACGAUGAGUAGCUCAACUAUAGAAUCACAUCUUACUGUGGCAAUUCCUCAAAUGUGCCUUCUGUUGCACCAUCUGAUGGUGGCAUUCCUCCCAGUUAAACCGUUAGUUAUUCAAGUUUACUCUUGGAGACCAAUACUUGCUAAUACAUAUCCUGCACCAGUAUCUUCUUCGCCAUCGAAUCCAUCACCAAGUGACCUUGACCUCCCCAUUAAUCUUCGUAAAGGCAAAUGACAAUGUAAAUCUACCUAUUAUGUUGCUAACUUUCUUUCUUAUGAUCAUCGGUCUCUUUCUUCUACAUCCUUAAUUGUCUCUCUAAAUUCCAUUUCUUUAUCUAAGACAGUUAAAGUGGCUCUGACCCAUUCUGGAUGGCAUGACGUAAUACUUGAGGAUAUCAAGACCUUAGAUAAAAAUCAUACUUGGAACUAGUUGAUUAACCCUCUGGCAAAAAAAUCGUGGGACUCAAAUUCUUUAAACUCAAAUUCUUGAACAACUUCGCUGAACUUACCAAACCAUGCAUACAAAUCUGUACAUAAUCUGUAUAUAUUCAAAUCUAUACUCCAACUUGAUGAGAGUGUUAAAGUGUGAACAUAAUCUGUACAUAAUUAAAGAAGAUUACAUAAUUAAAAAAGAUUACAUAAUUAUACGCUAAUUGAUAUUAAUUGAUUGACAGAGGAUUCUUAGGAGUUGCCUUAACGAGACCUUAUAAUUUGUAUAUAAAAACACUUACUUCAAUAGAGAAUACACAAAGUAUUGCCCAAUUGUUCAUUGUCUUGUUACAAUAACCAAGCCAGUAUAACACUAAACAUCAGUAUCGCGAAAAUGGAGUAAAAGAAAAAAACUCUUGGAAUAAAAUGAGAAAGAAAAAGGCCUAAUAAAGCUCAAGCAUGCACCCCCAUGUCAUGACUUGUAUGUUGACUUGCCAAUGGACAGAAACCUCGUUGGAAAGAAAGGAAGGAAGGAAAUACAGUAACUUAAAAGUGCAAACUUCAUAAGAUAAUGCUUAGGAUACACAUAAAUGAAGCCAUGCCUUUGCCAUUAAGUGAUACACUUGACAAAAUGGAAAUGAAUGUCCUCUUAUCAUUCAAUGACCUCCUAUUCCAGCCGACAAGUUUGUUAUAGAUAUAGUAGCAAUGCAAAAGUAAUGUCUAAAAAUGCAAGUAAAAGGCUUAUGUAGGUGCAGGUAAUUAUUAAGGAAAAAGACAACGGAACAGCCUUUAUAAUGUGCAGGACCCAUAGCAGCAGUUCAACUGAGUUACCUUUGUUGUCUCUUAAGUAUUUUUUUAGAUUAGUAAUAAAAUAUCAA
RNAcentral lists this long non-coding RNA (3368 nucleotides) under Manihot esculenta (cassava). RNAcentral's name for it is "long non-coding RNA (MESC_LNC001434)". Lineage: Eukaryota; Viridiplantae; Streptophyta; Magnoliopsida; Malpighiales; Euphorbiaceae. The record is from RNAcentral.